AUGGCCUCAAACAAGGCGCCAAGGGCCUGGAAUUCAAAACUAGAUGCAACCUUGAGAAAUCUUGGUUUUGAAAGAUGCUCUUCUGAAUCUGGACUCUACAAAAAACAAGUGGAUCAAUCAGGUCUGAUUGUCGGUGUGUAUGUAGAUGAUCUCAUCAUAACAGGAGGUAGUGAUCGAGCCAUAGAAGAUUUCAAAAAGCAAAUGAAGUCUAAGUUCAGUAUGAGUGAUUUGGGACUGUUGAGCUACUACUUGGGGACAGAAGUGAAGCAAACAGAGGAUGCAAUCACUCUAUGUCAAUCAGCAUAUGCAGCUCGAAUCCUUGAGAGGAUGGGAAUGUCGAGAUGUAAUCCUAUACAUACACCGAUGGAAGCCAGGCUGAAGAUGAGCAAAACCGGCCAAGCAGAGGCUGUUGAUGCAACCCAAUACAGAUGUGUAGUGGGAAGUUUGAGGUACCUGAUUCAUACUCGCCCCGAUUUGAGUUACUCUGUUGGUUUUGUUAGUCGCUUCAUGGAGAAACCUACAGCAGAACACAUGAGUGUUGUGAAGCACAUUCUAAGGUAUCUGAAAGGAACAUUGAAUCUUGGAUGCUGA
RNAcentral lists this ribosomal RNA (591 nucleotides) under Triticum aestivum (bread wheat). RNAcentral describes it as "partial small subunit ribosomal RNA". The record is from RNAcentral. Lineage: Eukaryota; Viridiplantae; Streptophyta; Magnoliopsida; Poales; Poaceae.